RNA transcript from Sphaerodactylus townsendi, 2608 nucleotides. It is a transcript of the gene named integrin subunit alpha 2b, with no coding region annotated. Lineage: Eukaryota; Metazoa; Chordata; Lepidosauria; Squamata; Sphaerodactylidae. The transcript has 25 exons. The record is from RefSeq and is a predicted model, not a curated record.
GAUGGCUGGGGGUCACGCUUGCCUGGGACGGCUCGCCCCUUUCUGGCUCUUUCUGGUGGGGGGCUUGCUCCUUGGCUCCCUUGUGCAGCCCUUCAACUUGCACACUGGUGACCCAACGUUCUUCUCUGGACCCAGCAGAAGCUAUUUUGGAUUUGCUUUGGACUUCUACCAGGACAGCAAAGGCAGAAUGAACGUGCUGGUAGGGGCCCCUCGGGCCAACACGUCGCAGCCUGGAGUGUUGGAGGGGGGCGCAGUCUACCUGUGUCCCUGGAAUCCCAGUGGCAACCCCUGCACCCCCAUUCAGUUUGAUGCUGAAGGUGACCGUACAGGCAAGCGCGGGACCACCACUGUGAGAACCUUCAAGUCCAAGCAGUGGUUUGGAGCAUCUGUAAACUCCUGGAAAGACAACAUCUUGGCCUGCGCCCCUCUGCUGCAUUGGAAUGCUGUCGAUGGCCAGGAGGAAGCCACCCAGACCCCCGUGGGCACCUGUUUUGUGGCCACAAACAGCCUGCAGCACUUUGUGGAAUAUUCUCCGUGCCGGGACAUCAGAGUCCACUCUGUGUACAGAGCCACAGAUUUUGGAAACGACAAGCGCUACUGUGAAGUGGGGUUCAGCUCUGCCGUCUCUGAGACUGGGAGACUGUUGCUUGGAGCACCUGGUGGAUAUUACUUUGGAGGUCUGGUCUACUCGGUCAACCUGUCUGCAGUGGUUGCGAGCUUUCCAAAGUCUCCUCUGUUGUUAUGGACUGUGGGGCAAGAGCAAGUGACGUUGGACUUCAUGGACAGAAGCUAUAAUGAUGCAUACCGGGGGUAUUCAGUGGCUUUUGGGGAGUUCAAUGAAGACGCGCAGUCACCAGAAUAUGUUGUGGGUGUUCCGAACAAAAGUCUAACGAAAGGAGUGGUUGAAAUUUUGUCCUUCAAGAAGGUCAUACAGACCCUCCCUAGUGAACAGAUGGCAUCCUAUUUUGGGCAUACUGUUGCGGUGGCUGAUAUCAACGGAGAUGGGAAAGACGACAUCCUUGUGGGGGCCCCGCUCUUCAUGGAGCGCCACUCCGACAGCAAACUCUACGAGGUGGGGAGAGUCUACUUGUACCUGCAAGGGAAGAGCCCCCCCGCUUUCAGCGUCCCCUGGCAGAAACUGACGGGCACGGAUGUCUACGGGCGCUUUGGGAUGGCGAUCGCAUCCUUGGGCGACAUGGACCAAGAUGGAUACACUGAUAUAGCUGUAGGAGCGCCCUUUGCUGGCCAAGAUGGGGGCGGCCGUGUGUACAUCUACCGCGGGCAGAGCAAUGGCCUGCGUGCGUCUCCUGACCAGGUCCUUGAAAAUCCCUUCGCUGGACCGGCCGGCUUCGGUUUUGCCGUGCGUGGAGCCUCGGACAUAGACGCGAACAGCUACCCGGAUCUGUUGGUUGGGGCAUUUAAAGCCAGCAAGGUGGCUGUGUACAGGGCCCGACCGGUUGUGGCGAUCAAAGGCCAGGUGCUGGUGCCGCAGACGCUGAAUUCGGAGGAGAAAAGCUGCACAGUGGCCAAAAUGAACGUCAGCUGCUUCACCAUCCAGAUGUGUGUUGGAGUGUCGGGGAGAAACAUACCUGCCCAAAUGGGCCUGGAAACAGAGCUACAGCUGGACAGCAUGAAGCAGAAAUUUUGGCGACGCGUUUUCCUGGAGCAAACCGGCCAGUCGAGCCAAGUGUUCCCCCUGGAACUGUCGGGAAAAGUGUCCCAAGCCUGCCGAAACAUCACUGCCUACCUGCGGGACGAGGGAGAUUUCAAGGACAAGUUGAGCCCCAUCGUGGUCACCUUCAGCUUCGGUUUGGGAUCUGCAUCCGGCGCGGGGGAGCUGGAUCCUGUGCUGUCCGGCCAAACAGUGAUCCGGGAGCAGACCCGCAUCGUUUUGGAUUGUGGAGAGGACAGCGUUUGUGUCCCGGAUCUCAAACUGUUUGCUUGCACGGAAGACCACCUCCUUAUCGGGGCAGAGAACGUGGUCCUCAUCCAGGCAACAGCGGUGAAUGCUGGCGAAGGGGCCUACGAGGCUGAACUGGUCGUGGAGCUGCCCAGGGGAGCGUACUUCCAAACGGCUCACAGCAACUCACAGAAGCUGAUUUGCACCUCAGAGAAGAAAAUCGAGAUCUCGCCAUGGCUGCAUGCAACAAGCAAUCCCUAUGAAAUCCAGCUGAGAUCCAGGUGGGACAUGAUGGAAGUCAGAAGUGUCAGCCAACUGGAAGAGGGCCGGGUGACAACGCUGCUUUCAGGAUGCAGCUGAGGAGCAAAAACAGAGACAACCCCAACAGCUUAAUUUUGACGCUGCUGCAGCACGCGGCUGGUCAAGGCCACGUGCAAGGAUGGAGCUCGGGGGAAUUCUGCCCCAGCCAGUAUUCUGCUCCCACUGGUCACCGGGGACCCCAAGAACGAGAGCAAGAGAGCGGAUGACCAUGGGCUCCAAGUGGAGCACAUUUAUCAGUUGCAGAAUGAAGGUCCGAGUUCCGUUUCCGGGGCUGAGCUCCUGGUGAACUUUCCCAGUUGCUUUCAGGGAAGCUUCCGACUCGACAUCACAAACGCGGGGACUCACAGAAGGCUGCGACCAGCUGCUCUCUUUUUCCCCUUAACGAGA